RNAcentral lists this ribosomal RNA (440 nucleotides) under uncultured bacterium. Its description in RNAcentral is "bacterial SSU rRNA". It matches the Rfam family "Bacterial small subunit ribosomal RNA", at positions 338 to 768 of the family's 1533-position model. The record is from RNAcentral.
CCUACGGGUGGCUGCAGUCGAGGAUCUUUGGCAAUGGGCGAAAGCCUGACCAUGCGACGCCGCGUGCGGGAUGAAGGCCUUCGGGUCGUAAACCGCUGUUACGAGGAACGAAAAUCCUGCCUGCGAACAGUGGGCAGGAAUUGACGGUACCUCGAAAGAAAGCCACGGCUAACUCCGUGCCAGCAGCCGCGGUAAUACGGAGGUGGCAAGCGUUGCUCGGAUUUACUGGGUGUAAAGGGCACGUAGGCGGCUCGAUAAGCCCCACUUAAAAUGCUUCGGCUCAACCAAAGCGUGUGGUGGGGGACUGCCGAGCUUGAGGAUUGGAGAGGCGAGCGGAAUUCCCGGUGUAAGGGUGAAAUCUGUAGAGAUCGGGAGGAACACCAGUGGCGAAAGCGGCUCGCUGGCCAAUUUCUGACGCUGAGGUGCGAAAGCUAGGGGAG